Molecule: ribosomal RNA, 106 nt
Filed under: Lepisosteus oculatus (spotted gar)
Lineage: Eukaryota; Metazoa; Chordata; Actinopteri; Semionotiformes; Lepisosteidae
Source: RNAcentral
GGCAGCAGCCACAUCGACCUGCACCUCAAAACAGAAGCUCAGCAGGUGUGAGCCUGUCCAGUAGCUGGAUGGGAGACUCCUGGGAAAGCUAAGGUUGCUGCUGGAA